GCGGUGGAGGCCAACCGGUAAGGCAUCAGCUUCCCAUGCUGACAUCAGCGGGUUCGAUUCCCGUCCACCGCU
RNAcentral lists this transfer RNA (72 nucleotides) under Myxococcales bacterium. RNAcentral's name for it is "tRNA-Gly". It matches the Rfam family "tRNA". Rfam says of the family: Transfer RNA (tRNA) molecules are approximately 80 nucleotides in length. Their secondary structure includes four short double-helical elements and three loops (D, anti-codon, and T loops). The record is from RNAcentral. Lineage: Bacteria; Pseudomonadati; Myxococcota; Myxococcia; Myxococcales.